AGCGAACGCUGGCGGCGUGCUUAACACAUGCAAGUCGAGUGCGCGGUUGUAGCAAUACAACUGGCGCACGGCGCACGGGUGCGUAACACGUGGGUAAUCUGCCCUUCGAUGGGGAAUAACCUCGCGAAAGCGAGGCUAAUUCCGCAUAACAUUCCGAGAACUCUGGUUUUUGGAUUCAAAGGCGUAAGUCGUCGGAGGUGGAGCCCGCGCACGAUUAGCUAGUUGGUAGGGUAAUGGCCUACCAAGGCUUUGAUCGUUAGCUGGUCUGAGAGGAUGGCCAGCCACACUGGAACUGAGACACGGUCCAGACUCCUACGGGAGGCAGCAGUGGGGAAUCUUGCACAAUGGGCGAAAGCCUGAUGCAGCGACGCCGCGUGGGGGAUGAAGCUUCUCGGAGUGUAAACCCCUUUCGACCCGGAAGAAAGCCCCGCAAGGGGACUGACGGUACGGGUAUAAGAAGCCCCGGCUAACUACGUGCCAGCAGCCGCGGUAAGACGUAGGGGGCCAGCGUUGCUCGGAAUUACUGGGUGUAAAGGGUUCGUAGGCGGUGUGGCAAGUUGGGAGUGAAAUCUCUGGGCUUAACCCAGAGGCUGCUUCCAAAACUGCUG
RNAcentral lists this ribosomal RNA (608 nucleotides) under uncultured bacterium. RNAcentral describes it as "bacterial SSU rRNA". It matches the Rfam family "Bacterial small subunit ribosomal RNA", at positions 28 to 638 of the family's 1533-position model. The record is from RNAcentral.